AAAUUGAAGAGUUUGAUCAUGGCUCAGAUUGAACGCUGGCGGCAGGCCUAACACAUGCAAGUCGAACGGUAACAGGAAGCAGCUUGCUGCUUCGCUGACGAGUGGCGGACGGGUGAGUAAUGUCUGGGAAACUGCCUGAUGGAGGGGGAUAACUACUGGAAACGGUGGCUAAUACCGCAUAACGUCGCAAGACCAAAGAGGGGGACCUUCGGGCCUCUUGCCAUCAGAUGUGCCCAGAUGGGAUUAGCUGGU
RNAcentral lists this ribosomal RNA (252 nucleotides) under Salmonella enterica subsp. enterica serovar Kentucky. Its description in RNAcentral is "partial 16S ribosomal RNA". It matches the Rfam family "Bacterial small subunit ribosomal RNA", at positions 1 to 249 of the family's 1533-position model. Lineage: Bacteria; Pseudomonadati; Pseudomonadota; Gammaproteobacteria; Enterobacterales; Enterobacteriaceae. The record is from RNAcentral.